Molecule: long non-coding RNA, 595 nt
Filed under: Monodelphis domestica (gray short-tailed opossum)
Lineage: Eukaryota; Metazoa; Chordata; Mammalia; Didelphimorphia; Didelphidae
Description: lncRNA (ENSMODG00000046999.1)
Source: RNAcentral
CCCGGUCGGCCGUGAUUGGUUAGCCUGGACUGUGGCUCUUGUCCUAAUUGGGUAGCUAACUUUAGGUUUUGGUUACCUGGAGUCGGAACCCCUCCCAGUUAGGAAGUGAAAGCGAGGGUUGCCAACAGGGAAUAUUUGGCUGGGAUACGGAGGGUCCCACCCUUUUCUUGGCCUUGUUGCCACAAGCUACUGCAGUUCAUGCCAUUGUUCCCCUCCCAUGCCAUGACCUCCCUACUGCUGCUGUUUGACUGAAGGUCUGAGAGCUGUUUGGAAGUACCUGAGAGCUGUUUGGAAGCAACUUCUUUUUCCUGCUGGAAGGAGAACAUUUGUGCCAAAGCCCUACCGGUUGCCAGGAAUGAAGUUGGAGUCCUCCAACCUCAAGCUUUGGAAAGGGAUAUCACUAAUAGAAUAAAUUUGAAUCCUGAGAGAGGGAAAGGCUUUUUUUUUUCCCCUGGGGAAUUCAGAUGGAGAAGGUCUGGCUCACAGCUCUUGGAGAAGGCUUGUUAAUGGAAUGGCCAACCCCAUGUGACUAGAGACCUUCUCUUUCUCUGGUCUGCUUUUUGUUAUUUAAUAAAUACUUAUAAAUUAAGAUACA